RNAcentral lists this unclassified non-coding RNA (334 nucleotides) under soil metagenome. Its description in RNAcentral is "partial contains 5.8S ribosomal RNA, internal transcribed spacer 2, and large subunit ribosomal RNA". The stretch from base 1 to 120 matches the Rfam family "5.8S ribosomal RNA", at positions 35 to 154 of the family's 154-position model. The record is from RNAcentral.
GAUGAAGAACGUAGUGAAAUGCGAUACGUAAUGUGAAUUGCAGAAUUCAGUGAAUCAUCGAAUCUUUGAACGCACAUUGCGCCCGCCAGCACUCUGGCGGGCAUGCCUGUUCGAGCGUCAUUUCAACCAUCAAGCCCCAGGCUUGCGUUGGAGCCCUGCGGCUGCCGCAACCUCCUAAAAGCAGUGGCGGGCUCGCUAUCACACCGAGUGCAGUAGAUUACUCUUCGCUCAGGGCGUGCAGCGGGUUCCGGCCGUGAAACCCCCUACUUUUAAAGGUUGACCUCGGAUCAGGUAGGAAUACCCGCUGAACUUAAGCAUAUCAAUAAGCGGAGGA